UAUCCUAGUGGCGAACGGGUGAGUAACGCGUGAGCAACCUGCCUUGUACAACGGGAUACCCGAGGGAAACUUCGGUUAAUACGGUAUAAGACCACACUACCGCAUGGUAGAGGGGUAAAAGGAGAAAUCCGGUAUAAGAUGGGCUCGCGUCGCAUUAGCUAGUUGGUAAGGUAACGGCUUACCAAGGCGACGAUGCGUAGCCGACCUGAGAGGGUGAUCGGCCACAUUGGGACUGAGACACGGCCCAGACUCCUACGGAAGGCAGCAG
Molecule: ribosomal RNA, 268 nt
Filed under: uncultured bacterium
Lineage: Bacteria
Description: partial 16S ribosomal RNA
Rfam family: Bacterial small subunit ribosomal RNA
Source: RNAcentral